RNAcentral lists this ribosomal RNA (114 nucleotides) under Acanthosepion pharaonis. Lineage: Eukaryota; Metazoa; Mollusca; Cephalopoda; Sepiida; Sepiidae. The record is from RNAcentral.
UUGCGGUCACAUCACAUUGAAACACCGGUUCUCGUACGAUCACCGAAGUUAAGCAACGUCGAGCCUGGCCAGUACCUCGAUGGCUGACCGCUUCGGAAUACGAGGUGCUGCAAG